RNAcentral lists this transfer RNA (73 nucleotides) under Parvimonas micra. RNAcentral's name for it is "tRNA-Tyr". It matches the Rfam family "tRNA". Rfam says of the family: Transfer RNA (tRNA) molecules are approximately 80 nucleotides in length. The record is from RNAcentral. Lineage: Bacteria; Bacillati; Bacillota; Tissierellia; Tissierellales; Peptoniphilaceae.
GUGAUCGUGGUGAAGCGAUUAACACGCUUGACUGUAAAUUCAGUAUGCACGGGUUCGAUGCCCGUUGAUCACC